This 93-nucleotide transfer RNA is filed under the name Lentisphaerae bacterium ADurb.BinA184. RNAcentral's name for it is "tRNA-Arg". Lineage: Bacteria; Pseudomonadati; Lentisphaerota. The record is from RNAcentral.
CGCGCCAUGGGCGGCGGGGCCGGCUACGUGGACUACGACUCGGCGUUCCGCAGGAUUCAUGCCGGCCGCGGGGUCCUGCCCGCCGGCGCCACC